This 253-nucleotide ribosomal RNA is filed under the name uncultured bacterium. RNAcentral's name for it is "partial 16S ribosomal RNA". It matches the Rfam family "Bacterial small subunit ribosomal RNA", at positions 524 to 776 of the family's 1533-position model. The record is from RNAcentral.
UACGUAGGUGGCAAGCGUUGUCCGGAUUCACUGGGUUUAAAGGGUGCGUAGGCGGAUUGGUAAGUCCGUGGUGAAAUCCCCGAGCUUAACUUGGGAACUGCCGUGGAUACUAUCAGUCUUGAAUAUCGUGGAGGUAAGCGGAAUAUGUCAUGUAGCGGUGAAAUGCUUAGAUAUGACAUAGAACACCAAUUGCGUAGGCAGCUUACUACUCGAUCAUUGACGCUGAGGCACGAAAGCGUGGGGAGCAAACAGG